This 254-nucleotide ribosomal RNA is filed under the name uncultured bacterium. RNAcentral describes it as "partial 16S ribosomal RNA". It matches the Rfam family "Bacterial small subunit ribosomal RNA", at positions 524 to 777 of the family's 1533-position model. The record is from RNAcentral.
UACAGAGGUGGCAAGCGUUGUUCGGAAUUACUGGGCGUAAAGGGCGCGUAGGCGGCCAUCUAAGUCAGACGUGAAAUCCCCCGGCUUAACCUGGGAACUGCGUCUGAUACUGGAAGGCUUGAGUAUGGGAGAGGGAUGUAGAAUUCCAGGUGUAGCGGUGAAAUGCGUAGAUAUCUGGAGGAAUACCGGUGGCGAAGGCGGCAUCCUGGACCAUUACUGACGCUGAGGCGCGAAAGCUAGGGGAGCAAACGGGG